UAUAUACAGUUCACGUAAUAUCAAAGCGGUAAAAGCAAUCAAUUAGCACAUUAAGCACAUAUCCUGUAACAGAAUCAGAUAAAACUAAACACAACAAUUAUUCUAAGCUUGAAUUCUGAACCCUGAACCAGAGAUUCUGGGUUCGUCUCCCCAACACAGUCGCCAGAGCUGUCAUACCUCCUUUUUCUUCUAUAUACCCCGCAAAAGGGAGCGUAAAGGUGUUUUUCCAAUUAAAGGACAAUCGGAAUGUUAUUUGUUUAUUAUUUAUUCAGAGUCGCCACUUGGGAGAUUAAUGGUGUCCCAAGUCACCGAGUGAAUCUCGAACCGAGGAAAAAGAUGACUCUAUUAACAGUAUGUGAACCAGAAAUCCGGAUAAGAAAUUCUGUUAACUAGGGAGAACGUGUUAGGCAUUCCCGGGUUUCGUGGUUCUAGCACGAUCGCUCAACUGUUGCAUUUAGCUAUUAUCUGACUUUAUUACAUGAAGAGCGUAUGUGCCAAUUUUAUGUUUAACCGCUUUUAUUUAUUAAGUAUUUAUUUAAGAGAAAGUGAACGUCGUUUAAAGUGUGUUUUUGGAUUGCGCCGCAUCAAAUGAACCCGCAAUCCUAGGCACACUCUAUUCAACAUUUUAGGAUUUGGAUUUAGGCCGCAUAAAAUGCCCACCCAUAUUUGAGAAUAUAAUUUUAUUAAAGUCGUGUCUAAUAGAGUCUAACGAGUUAUAAUCUUUUGGGAGGGCCGUGAAAUAGGCACACUCUAUUCAACGUUUUAGAAUCUGGAUUUGGGCCGCAUAAUAUGCCCAGUCGUAUUUAGGAAUGUAAUUUAUUAGAAUCGCGUCUAAAAGAGUCUAACGCGUUAUUAUCUUUUGGGAGGGUUGUGAAAUUCGCUAAACGACC
RNAcentral lists this long non-coding RNA (890 nucleotides) under Nicotiana benthamiana. RNAcentral describes it as "long non-coding RNA (NBEN_LNC003723)". The record is from RNAcentral. Lineage: Eukaryota; Viridiplantae; Streptophyta; Magnoliopsida; Solanales; Solanaceae.